GCGUACCUGCGACAUAUGGAAGCUCCUAGGCUAGGGGUCUAAUUGGAGCUGCAGCUGCUGGCCUACACCACAGCCACAGAAAUGCAGGAACUGAGCCAUGUCUGGGACCUACACCACAGCUCAGGGCAACACUGGAUCCUUAACUCAAUGAGCAAGGCCAUAGGUCAAACCUGCAUCCUCAUGGAUACUAGUCAGAUUCUAAACCCAUUGAGUCACAAGGGGAACUCCUUUUUUGUCAUUUCUAAAAUUAGACUGAAAGAAAUAGGAUUUAUAAAUUCUUGUAAAAUUCUUGUAAAAUUUUUUGAUUUCAUUAUCCGCUGGAACCCAGCCCACCAAGUAAAGGGACCUCUGGAUGGUAGAUCCGCCUCAACAAUUAGCAUCAUUACAGUUACAGAAAAAUGAACUGAAAAGAUUCUUGGAAGAGACUAAAGAGUUUAAUGGGUAUUUUAUCCAAUUUUUCCCAUACCUUUCAAUGGGAAGUCACUGAGCACUGAGCACUACAUUCCAUCUCACACUUCUUUUAAUUGUUCUCUAAUUUUUGAAUAAUUUAGUUGACAGUUAAUAGCUUAAAGAUCCACUUAUGGAGACAUUUUACUCUAUAAGAAUAGAAAAUGUAAUAUUUCCACUUAAAAUCCCAGUAUUUUACUCAGUAAGAUUUAAAAAAAAAAAUCUUCAGAGACAUCCUCAUGAGGAAAAUUCAGGAAACCUCUUCUAAAACUUUUGCACAUUUGGUUAUUUUCACAUAAACAUAAGGCAAAACAUUCCAUAUGCUGCUGGCCUACUUCUCAUGUCCCUUUUCUCUGUGGACAUUGUUCCUCAAGUUUCCUGUUUCGGUAUUGGUACUAAUGUUGAUAACAUGUCUAUAAUCCUUAGCGUGUUUUCCUCCUGGCCCUCUUUGGCACACUAAGUCGCUGGAGUAUCUCCCCUGAGCCUUGGGCAUAUACGGUAGAUAAAAUAUCACAUGGCUUAUCCAGGUUACAAUCCAUAUAGAAAUUAUAUCCAGAAAGGCCCACAGUAACUCCAUAUCUUGCUUCUCUUCAGUAUUUUUGCUCUCUUGACUACCAUAGAAAAUGUAUCAAAAAAUUAUGGCUAUGGAAAUAAAAUAAUUGGAAAUGUAUUAAGAGAGUGAUUUUUAGAAAGGCUGGAUUUCUUAACCUAAAACCGAAAUAGUUGCAUUUUUUUUUAUAAUUUCAACCGGCUGAUGUGGUGCAUUUGUAUGACAAAUAGAGGUAAGACUGUAAUGUUAAAGCCAAUGAAAACUUUACCUUUUUUUUAGCUCUGAUUUAUUAUUUAUUAGCUCAACUUUUCAUCACAUUGAGUAGAAUAAUUUGGGGAUGCCAUUUCUUUCUGUAGAUACCAAAGAAAUGAAAAAUGAGCAUGGUUGCAUUUCCUGUUUGGUGUACUAAUUUAUUUUUUUACUAAUUUUUGGAAAAAUUGCUCUCUGAAUUUGGUCCUCCUACUCGUUGAAUAUAGGUUUAAUAAGUAGCACAUGCAUCAGUUUCAGGCAGAAAGAGUUUAGAAUUCCAGUCUUAUCAUUACCUAGAUGUAUGAACUUGCUUAUAUUAUUUAAACUCUCAAUGUCAGUUUCUCCACACUCAACAUAGUGUUAUUGUAAUGAGUCGAUGACAAAGCUUUAACAUUAUCUCUCAAAUGAGUUUCCUCAGAAAUGUUAUUAUUACUUUACAGUGGGACUAUCUUUUUCAACUGUGAUAACUGAUUUUAUUUUUAGAAAUAAUAAAGAUGACAGUAUUUACGGUGUGAGUGUAUGAGAUAAAAAUUUAUAUAACUGGAUUUUACCUUUAAUUAUCCCUUGCAAUAAUUCCAUGAACUAUUAUUAUUUUCCUAGUAAAAAAAAAAAUCUAAAACUCAGAAACAGUUGUAUUUUUUAUACAUUUCUCCUGAAAUGGAAAAGCUAGGGGUUGCUCCAAUAAUCCCACACAUUAUAAAUUAAAAUUAAGUUCUGAUGCUAUACAUUUUAAAAGAAUUUUUCCUUUUUAAGUUAAAAAUUACCUUCAAAUACAGAUGCUAGUUAACAAAUUGAGACAAUCAGGAGAGAAAGAGAACAUCUCUAUAAAAACCCACAGAUUUUGCAAGUGAUUUAGGGGAUUACAGUUUUUCCUUCAUUAUUCUUCUUCAUACUGCUUUCACUGACUGGUUUGACCUGACUCCCCUUUGCCAUUAGCAAAAAGGAAAGGUCAUUUUUUUUUUAAGGGGACUCAGAGAAUUAAUUGUAGGACUAAUUGUAGGACUACUUAAAGGCAGCCUUAGAGUAAUAAUCUGAAAGUAAUCUAAAUUGAUUCUUCUUAUGAAUUUUUGUCAUGUAGUCAUGAUGAAGUUCUUACAUGGUAUUGAGAGUCAGCAAACACAGAUGGAGCAGAAUGAAUCAUUCCAGAAACAGACAGGUGGCUAUAAAAUCAAAGUUUACUCAAGAUAGUCAAAUUCAACCAAUAUUCUGUUCUCUUCUGUGACAGAUUCACCUGGCAUAUUAACCUAACACCAAGAAAAAGAUUGUCAAGUCAGAGAGAAAGAUAGAGAAUUGGAAAACUACCCAGUAAUGUUGAGGGUGCUAAUUGCCUUGAGGACGUAUGUGUUCACAAAGAUACUUAUGACUUCUUAGGGGUCUUAAUAUAAGAAAGGCGAGUUCAGUACACAUAGAGAAUGUGGGAAGAUAAUUUAGGUUUCCAAUUAUAUCAUGGAAUUUAGGGAGCCUCCCACCCAACUCCUCAUAAUUUAAAUAAAAUUAGGAAAAAAGAUCUCAAUCUUUAGUAGACAUUUAAAUAAUGUUGCUUCUUUAAAUUGGACAAUUCGGGGGUACCAAUUCGGGGGUUCUUUUCUCUAGAGGACAUCCUUACAACUGACUAUGGACAUUCUUGCAAUUUACUAUGAAAAUGUCCUGAAAAUCAUUUCCAGUUGUCUUAUUUUACACAAUGGCAAGCAUUUGCUUAUUGAGUAGGUGAAGUCUCCCUUUCAGUGAGCUGCAAGCCUGAUUCAACAAUGAGAUAUCCAAGACAUUCAAAUUCUUUAAGAAGAAAGAUACAGGAAGGAAUAUAAAGCUUGGGAUCAGAAGUUCCAGAGACGAGGAAAACAAUGUGGAUGGGUAGGUAGGAAGGAAAAUCUGAAAUGAUGCCUUAGAGACUUGGCUGUGUUCUUCAUUACUUCACCCAGACACCCCAGGAGUGGUUGACAGAUCACAUCCCAGAAAUGAUUGCAGAACAGAGUCAACCACAGCUGUUGGUCACAGAGGAUUUUCAUUUGAGAACAAUGACUUAUGUUUGUAAAUGUCCAUCACAUCCUUGAAUUGCCAUACAUUUGUUUAUAGGAUGUGUAAUUGUGACAUCUGUUUUCCUUGUCAGUACUCUUAAGACUUUUUCUCUAGUCCCUGAGGAAUAGCAAAAGAAAGAAAAUGUUCAUUUUUUUGUGAAUCUCACAUGCUUUCCCAUUAGCAUUGUCCAUCAUAUAUCUUAGCUAGAAUUUUCCUUAAAUUGACAGGAGCAACACUUUUUGCUAUAGAGUGAGGUGAGCAAAAAGAAGGCUCAGGAUUUUAAGGGAAAAAAAUUUGAAAAAUUUCAUAAUAGUUUCACCAAAUCUAUAUCUUGAAAUUAAAUAUUCAUUCUAUUGCAAAAACUUCUAUCACUGGAAUGUAAACUAUAGGAGUUAAUGAGAAUUCACAGAAUGAGUGAUAUUAAAAUGAACUGGUCAAUUAAUUGAAGGAACUCGUAGAUAACUUUUAAAAUAAAUGCAUUAUUACUGUUAUUUGGGAAGAAAAAUAAAAGGUUUUCAUUGCUAUUACAUGGAUUACUCCAAUACACUGAAAAAACAGAGCUCCUACUAAGUGAAAGUUGAUGUGGGAUAAAAGGAAAAAACAUAAAAAUGUUACAUGGGGGAGUUCUCUUGUGGUGCAGUGAGGUAAGGAUUCAGCUGUUUUCACUGUGGAGGCUUGGGUUGCUGCUAUGGUAUGGGUUCAGUCCCUGGUCUGGGAACUUCCACAUGCCACGGGUGUGGCCAAAAUAAAUGACAUGAGAUAGAAAGCCUGUGUGUGUGUGUGUGUUUGUGUGUGUGUGUAAACACAUGGUCUCUGAAGGAUAAUGUCUGAUUUUAGGUAUUUGUGCAAUUUGGUUUCCUUGGUGCAUGACAUAGAUCCAAUCUACUAAAUGUCCACUCUGCCUCCUCUCUACUCUGGACUCUCUAAUACCUGAAAACAUUAUGGUAAUGAACCCAUCACCUCUGGCUUCAGAUGAGGAGUAGGAAGGUGGGAAGGUGAAUGAGUCAGAGGGAAGCAUCGAAAUCUGUCGCAUGGUUAGAUUUCAUUCCAACGACUUUCAUGUUUUACACAUACCUAUCUGAAUGACCAUUUUCCUGACGUAUUUGGCUUUUCUAUUCUAUACUAUCAAAUUAUAAUACAAGAAAUUAGAUGAUAGACUAGGAUGAUAUGAUUUAACUGGGGAUGCAGAAAAUGAGUUUUCCAAUGGAAAGGACUUCCUUUAGGGAAAGCAUUUUAAAAGUCAAAGGAGGGAGAGUACCCAAUGUGGCUCAAUGGAAAUGAAUAUGACUAGCAUCCGUGAGGACUCAGGUACCACCCCUGGCUUUGCUUCUUGGGUUAAGGAUCAGGCGUUGCCCUGAGCUGUGGCGUAGGUCACAGACAUGGCUCGGAUCUGACAUUGCUGUCGUUGUGGUGUAGGCUAGCAACUACUGCUCUGAUUCAAUCCCUAGCCUCGGAACCUCCAUAUGCCUCAGGUGCAGCCCUAAAAAGACAAAACAAACAAACAAAA
This 4769-nucleotide long non-coding RNA is filed under the name Sus scrofa (pig). RNAcentral describes it as "lncRNA (ENSSSCG00045020412.1)". Lineage: Eukaryota; Metazoa; Chordata; Mammalia; Artiodactyla; Suidae. The record is from RNAcentral.